CCAGAAGGGUACUGGAGCUCCUG
RNAcentral lists this non-coding RNA (23 nucleotides) under Cricetulus griseus (Chinese hamster). Lineage: Eukaryota; Metazoa; Chordata; Mammalia; Rodentia; Cricetidae. The record is from RNAcentral.